AGGAGACAAAGUUCUGCUGACUG
Molecule: non-coding RNA, 23 nt
Filed under: Cricetulus griseus (Chinese hamster)
Lineage: Eukaryota; Metazoa; Chordata; Mammalia; Rodentia; Cricetidae
Source: RNAcentral